This is a non-coding RNA of Pelobates cultripes (western spadefoot toad), 206 nucleotides long. The record is from the annotation of a GenBank genome assembly. NCBI's taxonomy places the organism in Eukaryota, Metazoa, Chordata, Amphibia, Anura, Pelobatidae.
CAACAACACAAAACCGAACUUCACUAAUACUUCUAAACGCACAAACUGUGCUGGGGGAGAUUACUGGAGAUCUGAGCUACAAAGUGGGCUAUAGUAUCAGCUGUUACUGCUCCCACUGGGCAGCUAUUCCAGGUAUCUACUACCCUUUCUAUAUCACUGUUACUGCUCCCACUGGAAGGUUAUUCCAGGUAUCUACUACCCUUUCU